UACAGAGGGUGCGAGCGUUGUUCGGAAUUAUUGGGCGUAAAGGGCGCGUAGGCGGUGCGGUAAGUCACCUGUGAAAGCUCCCGGCUCAACUGGGAGAGGUCCUUGGAUACUGGCGGACUUGAGGGAGGCAGAGGAAAGUGGAAUUCCCGGUGUAGUGGUGAUAUGCGUAGAUAUCGGGAGGAACACCAGUGGCGAAGGCGGCUUUCUGGGCCUUACCUGACGCUGAGACGCGAAAGCGUGGGGAGCGAACCGG
Molecule: ribosomal RNA, 253 nt
Filed under: uncultured bacterium
Lineage: Bacteria
Description: partial 16S ribosomal RNA
Rfam family: Bacterial small subunit ribosomal RNA
Source: RNAcentral